CCGGUUGAUCCUGCCGGAGGUCACUGCUAUUGGGAUUCGACUAAGCCAUGCGAGUCGAGAGGGUUCGGCCCUCGGCGAACUGCUCAGUAACACGUGGAUAAUUUGCCCUUAGGUGGAGGAUAACCUCGGGAAACUGAGAAUAAUACUCCAUAGAUCUAGAAUGCUGGAAUGCAUUUAGAUUAAAAGCUCCGGCGCCUAAGGAUAAGUCUGCGGACUAUCAGGUUGUAGUCAGGGUAAAGACCUGACUAGCCUACAACGGAUACGGGUUGUGAGAGCAAUAACCCGGAGACGAUAUCUGAGACACGAUAUCGGGCCCUACGGGGCGCAGCAGGCGCGAAACCUUCGCACUGUGCGAAAGCGCGAUGAGGGAAUCCCAAGUGCUUGCUCGUAAGAGUAAGCUGUUUUUAUGUCUAAAAAGCAUAGAGAGUAAGGGCUGGGUAAGACGGGUGCCAGCCGCCGCGGUAAUACCUGCAGCUCAAGUGGUGAUCAUUAUUAUUGGGCCUAAAACGUCCGUAGCCGGUUUGGUAAAUGCCUGGGUAAAUCGUGUAGCUUAACUAUACGAAUUCCGGGUAGACUGCCAAACUUGAGACCGGGAGAGGCUAGAGGUACUCCUGGGGUAGAGGUGAAAUUCUGUAAUCCUAGGGGGACCACCAGUGGCGAAGGCGUCUAGCUAGAACGGGUCUGACGGUCAGGGACGAAGCCCUGGGGCGCG
Molecule: ribosomal RNA, 712 nt
Filed under: uncultured archaeon
Lineage: Archaea
Description: bacterial SSU rRNA
Rfam family: Archaeal small subunit ribosomal RNA
Source: RNAcentral